GCCCACGUAGCCCAAUCAGUAGAGGCGUCGAGUCGAGAGCGCGGAGGUUGCAGGUGCAAGUCCUGCCGUGGGUA
RNAcentral lists this transfer RNA (74 nucleotides) under bacterium. RNAcentral's name for it is "tRNA-OTHER". It matches the Rfam family "tRNA". From Rfam's summary of the family: Transfer RNA (tRNA) molecules are approximately 80 nucleotides in length. Their secondary structure includes four short double-helical elements and three loops (D, anti-codon, and T loops). Further hydrogen bonds mediate the characteristic L-shaped molecular structure. tRNAs have two regions of fundamental functional importance: the anti-codon, which is responsible for specific mRNA codon recognition, and the 3' end, to which the tRNAs corresponding amino acid is attached (by aminoacyl-tRNA synthetases). tRNAs cope with the degeneracy of the genetic code in two manners: having more than one tRNA (with a specific anti-codon) for a particular amino acid; and 'wobble' base-pairing, i.e. permitting non-standard base-pairing at the 3rd anti-codon position. RNAcentral also lists the same sequence under 1 other name. The record is from RNAcentral.